This 1371-nucleotide long non-coding RNA is filed under the name Anas platyrhynchos platyrhynchos (common mallard). Its description in RNAcentral is "lncRNA (ENSAPLG00000021194.1)". Lineage: Eukaryota; Metazoa; Chordata; Aves; Anseriformes; Anatidae. The record is from RNAcentral.
AUGGGGCAGCUUUGCAGCAGGGACACGGGACAGCAGGGACACGGGGCAGCUCUGCAGCAGGACCACAGGACAGACUUGCAGCAGGGACAAAGGACAGCAGGGGCACAGGGCAGGAGGGACAUGGGGCAGCUCUGCAGCAGGACAGCGUUGCAGCAGGACACGAGGAAGCUUUGCAGCAGGGACACAAAGCAGAGAUGCAGUAGGACCACAGGACAGCAGGGACACGGGACAGCAGGGACACAGGACAGCCUUGCAGCAGGACAGCUCUGCAACAGGGACACGGGGCAGCUCUGCAGCAGGGCAGCUUUGCAGCAGGACCACAGGACAGCCUUGCAGCAGGGACAUGGAGCAGCUCUGCAGCAGGGACACGGGACAGCCUUGCAGGAGGGACACGGGACAGCAGGGACAUGGGACAGCUUUGCAGCAGGACAGCUCUGCAGCAGGGACACGAGGCAACUCUGCAACAGGGCAGCUUUGCAGCAGGGACACAAAGCAGAGCUGCAGCAGGGACACAGGACAGCAGGGACACGGGACAGCCUUGCAGCAGGACAGCUCUGCAGCAGGGACAUGGGGCAGCCCUGCAGCAGGACAGCUCUGCAGCAGGACAUGAGGCACCUUUGCAGCAGGGACACAAAGCAGAGAUGCAGUAGGACCACAGGACAGCAGGGACACGGGACAGCCUUGCAGCAGGGACACAGGGCAGCAGGGACAUGGGGCAGGAGGGACACAGGGCAGGAGGGACAUGGGGCAGCUUUGCAGCAGGGACACGAAGCAGAGCUGCAGCAGGUCCCCAGGACAGCUCCGCAGCACGGCCGCUUUGCAGCUCUCCCCCAGCCCUGCCGCAGGCUCCCAGCGAGCGGCGCUGCCGACCCAGCGAAGCCCCGAAGCCGCCGGGGAGCUGCGGGCGGGCAGCGCAGCCCCAGCCCCCGGGGGGGGUGGGGGGUGCUCAGCAACACCCCCCCCCUCUCCUCCUCCCCAGCACCGGCUGAUGCAACAGCAGCGGUGCCAGGCGGUGCUUCGAGCCUCCAACACGAGGGCAGGCAAAGAAAUGCGGGCUGCAGCGGCUGCUCUGAGGCUGAAAUCCCAGCUCUGUGCCGUUUGUUUGCUUUGGGAUCACCUGGCACCCCUCGCCCCCCGGCUGGCCUGGAGCUGGGGACGUGGGGGGGGGCACCCCAAAUGGGGUGUCACGGCAGCCCGGUGACACCGCAUCAAUCACAGCCCCCCCCUCCUCCUCCUCCUCCUCCCCGGGUGGCUCGCACGCUGCCGUGGCAUCGAUCCUGCCUGGCUGCCUGUCAGCAGCUGAAAUGCUCCAGCAGCUCUCUGGGAUUUACAGCUCCCGCUGCCCGGAGCACGCCGUUCCCCCAGGAUUAG